This 506-nucleotide ribosomal RNA is filed under the name uncultured bacterium. RNAcentral describes it as "partial 16S ribosomal RNA". It matches the Rfam family "Bacterial small subunit ribosomal RNA", at positions 30 to 523 of the family's 1533-position model. The record is from RNAcentral.
AUUGAACGCUGGCGGCAUGCCUUACACAUGCAAGUCGAACGGCAGCAUGGAGGAGCUUGCUCCUCUGAUGGCGAGUGGCGAACGGGUGAGUAAAGCAUCGGAACGUGCCGGGUAGUGGGGGAUAACGUAGCGAAAGGUACGCUAAUACCGCAUACGCACCGAGGUGGAAAGCAGGGGAUCGCAAGACCUUGCGCUAUACGAGCGGCCGAUGUCAGAUUAGUUAGUUUGUAGGGUAAAGGCCUACCAAGGCGACGAUCUGUAGCGGGUAUGAGAGGAUGAUCCGCCACACUGGGACUGAGACACGGCCCAGACUCCUACGGGAGGCAGCAGUGGGGAAUUUUGGACAAUGGGGGAAACCCUGAUCCAGCCAUGCCGCGUGUGUGAAGAAGGCCUUCGGGUUGUAAAGCUCUUUCGGCUGGGAAGAAAUCGCACAGGCUAAUACUCUGUGUGGAUGACGGUACCAGCAUAAGAAGCACCGGCUAACUACGUGCCAGCCGCCGCCGUAA